RNAcentral lists this ribosomal RNA (253 nucleotides) under uncultured bacterium. Its description in RNAcentral is "partial 16S ribosomal RNA". It matches the Rfam family "Bacterial small subunit ribosomal RNA", at positions 524 to 776 of the family's 1533-position model. The record is from RNAcentral.
UACGUAGGGGGCAAGCGUUGUCCGGAUUUAUUGGGCGUAAAGAGCUCGUAGGCGGUUCCGUAAGUCGUGAAGUCAAAUCUCUGGGCUCAACCCAGAAUCGCUCCGAUACUGCGGUGACUGGAGUCCGGUAGGGGAGUGUGGAAUUCCUGGUGUAGCGGUGAAAUGCGCAGAUAUCAGGAGGAACACCAACAGCGAAGGCAGCACUCUGGGCCGGUACUGACGCUGAGGAGCGAAAGCAUGGGGAGCGAACAGG